AACGUAGGUGACAAGCGUUAUCCGGAUUUACUGGGCGUAAAGCGCAUGUAGGUGGCGUGGCAAGUUGGAUGUGAAAGCUCCCGGCUUAACUGGGAGAGGUCAUUCAAAACUGCCGGGCUUGAGGUUGGAAGAGGAGAGCGGAAUUCCCGGUGUAGUGGUGGAAUGCGUAGAUAUCGGGAGGAACACAAGUGGCGAAAGCGGCUCUCUGGUUCAAUACUGACACUGAGAUGCGAAAGCGUGGGGAGCGAACGGG
RNAcentral lists this ribosomal RNA (253 nucleotides) under uncultured bacterium. RNAcentral describes it as "partial 16S ribosomal RNA". It matches the Rfam family "Bacterial small subunit ribosomal RNA", at positions 524 to 776 of the family's 1533-position model. The record is from RNAcentral.